CCUUGGUAAUGGUGAAGAGGGUUAUUCUAGUAGACCUUUGUUCAAGACAAUAACCCGAAGGUCAAGUAUGAGUAAAAUGAACCUUUGAGCCAUAUACAAAAGUGGGCCUUUGGGCUAGAUACAGAAGAGAGCAUUCAGGUUGGAUACGCGAAUGAGCCCUGAAACCGGUUAUGAGCCUUCGAACAAAAUAAGUUGUGAAACACAUACCAAAUUUAGAAAUGGUUUCAUUAAACACGUAACAUGCAUAUGAAAGGAACAUGAAAUUGUUG
This 269-nucleotide long non-coding RNA is filed under the name Carica papaya (papaya). RNAcentral describes it as "long non-coding RNA (CPAP_LNC000643)". The record is from RNAcentral. Lineage: Eukaryota; Viridiplantae; Streptophyta; Magnoliopsida; Brassicales; Caricaceae.